UACGUAGGGUGCAAGCGUUGUCCGGAAUUAUUGGGCGUAAAGAGCUCGUAGGCGGUUUGUCGCGUCGGCUGUGAAAUCCCGGAGCUCAACUCCGGGCCUGCAGUCGAUACGGGCAGACUUGAGUGUUGCAGGGGAGACUGGAAUUCCUGGUGUAGCGGUGAAAUGCGCAGAUAUCAGGAAGAACACCCGUGGCGAAGGCGGUUCUCUGGGACGGUACUGACGCUGAGACGCGAAAGCGUGGGGAGCGAACAGG
RNAcentral lists this ribosomal RNA (253 nucleotides) under uncultured bacterium. Its description in RNAcentral is "partial 16S ribosomal RNA". It matches the Rfam family "Bacterial small subunit ribosomal RNA", at positions 524 to 776 of the family's 1533-position model. The record is from RNAcentral.